This is a non-coding RNA of Odocoileus virginianus texanus, 437 nucleotides long. NCBI's taxonomy places the organism in Eukaryota, Metazoa, Chordata, Mammalia, Artiodactyla, Cervidae. The record is from RefSeq and is a predicted model, not a curated record.
CCCUCCCCCCUCUCCUGAUGGCAGGUGCCUGGAGAUUUGAGUCAAACUUCUGAAGACCAGAGUUUAUCGGAUUUUGAAAUAUCAAACCGAGCUCUGAUCAACGUCUGGAUCCCAUCAGUGUUUCUCCGAGGCAAAGCUGCCAACGCCUUCCAUGUGUAUCAGGUCUACAUCCGGAUAAAAGACGAUGAGUGGAAUGUCUAUCGGCGGUAUGCAGAGUUCAGGAGUUUGCACCACAAGUUACAGAACAAAUACCCUCAAGUGAGGGCCUUCAACUUCCCACCCAAGAAGGCCAUUGGAAACAAGGAUGCCAAGUUUGUGGAGGAACGCAGGAAGCAGCUGCAGACCUACCUGCGCAACGUCAUGAACAAAGUCAUCCAGGCAGUCCCUGAGUUUACCGCCAGCCCCCAGAAGGAGACCCUGACCCAGCUGAUGCCCUU